UGUGUGUAUGGGUGACUAACUGUAACUGUAUAUGUGUGUGUGUGUGAGUAUGUGCACACAUAUAAUGGUAACCAAGGCCAAAGAUGGAACAAAAAAACCCAAAGAAAUCGUUUUGUCUUUGCACUUGUGCAAAUCUCCAGCGACUAGUGUGAAGAUGCUCUUGCUGCCGCUGCUGCUGCUGCGUCGCUUGGCAACAACUGAAGUUUCAACUGAAACGGUUUAUGCGCGCUUUGCAUUCACUGGCACUCACAAAUAAAACUGGCAGCAAAGACGGCGGUGACGGCGAC
Molecule: long non-coding RNA, 287 nt
Organism: Drosophila montana
Lineage: Eukaryota; Metazoa; Arthropoda; Insecta; Diptera; Drosophilidae
Exons: 3
Source: RefSeq, a predicted model, not a curated record